GAUGAACGCUCGCGAUAGGCUUAACACAUGCAAGUCGAGCGGCAGCACAAGGUAGCUUGCUAUUUGGGUGGCGACCGGCGCACGGGUGAGUCACGAGGAUGCAACUUGCCCUAUACAGGAGGAUUAACCGACGAAAGACGGACUACUAAUGCGUAUGCUCACAACUUGGCAUCAAGUGGAGAGGAACGACAUUCGGUAUAGGAUAGGCAUGCGUCCCAUUAGCUUGUUGGUGAGGUAACGGCUCACCAAGGCAACGAUGGGUAGGGGAACUGAGAGGUUUAUCCCCCACACGGGUACUGAGACACGUACCAGACUCCUACGGGAGGCAGCAGUGAGGAAUAUAGGUGAGUGGGCGCGAGCCUGAACCAGCCAAGUCGCGUGAAGGAACACUGUCUUAGGGAUUGUAAACUUCUGUUAGACGAGAGCAUCAGGAGUCACGGGUGACUGCCUGCCGGUACCGUAUGAAUAAGCAUCGGCUAACUCCGUG
RNAcentral lists this ribosomal RNA (487 nucleotides) under uncultured bacterium. Its description in RNAcentral is "partial 16S ribosomal RNA". It matches the Rfam family "Bacterial small subunit ribosomal RNA", at positions 28 to 507 of the family's 1533-position model. The record is from RNAcentral.